This 226-nucleotide unclassified non-coding RNA is filed under the name uncultured fungus. RNAcentral describes it as "sequence contains ITS1, 5.8S rRNA gene". The record is from RNAcentral. Lineage: Eukaryota; Fungi.
UCUCCGUAGGUGAACCUGCGGAGGGAUCAUUACUGAGUGAGGGCUUCGGUCCGACCUCCAACCCUUUGUGAACCAAACUUGUUGCUUCGGGGGCGACCCUGCCGUCCGCGGCUGCGCGCCCCCGGGGUCACUCAAACACUGCAUUCUCUUCGUCGGAGUAUUAGUAAAUCUAAUCAAAACUUUCGACAACGGAUCUCUUGGUUCUGACAUCGAUUCAGAACGCAGC